CCAUAACGCCCGCGGCAUGCCUANCACAUGCAAGUCGAACGAAGGCUUCGGCCUUAGUGGCGCACGGGUGCGUAACGCGUGGGAAUCUGCCCUUGGGUUCGGAAUAACAGUGAGAAAUUACUGCUAAUACCGGAUGAUGACUUCGGUCCAAAGAUUUAUCGCCCAAGGAUGAGCCCGCGUAAGAUUAGCUAGUUGGUGAGGUAAAGGCUCACCAAGGCGACGAUCUUUAGCUGGUCUGAGAGGAUGAUCAGCCACACUGGGACUGAGACACGGCCCAGACUCCUACGGGAGGCAGCAGUGGGGAAUAUUGGACAAUGGGCGAAAGCCUGAUCCAGCAAUGCCGCGUGAGUGAUGAAGGCCUUAGGGUUGUAAAGCUCUUUUACCAGGGAUGAUAAUGACAGUACCUGGAGAAUAAGCUCCGGCUAACUCCGUGCCAGCAGCCGCGGUAAUACGGAGGGAGCUAGCGUUGUUCGGAAUUACUGGGCGUAAAGCGCACGUAGGCGGCCAUUCAAGUCAGAGGUGAAAGCCCGGGGCUCAACCCCGGAACUGCCUUUGAAACUAGAUGGCUUGAAUCUUGGAGAGGCGAGUGGAAUUCCGAGUGGUAGAGGUGAAAUUCGUAGAUAUUCGGAAGAACACCAGUGGCGAAGGCGACUCGCUGGACAAGUAUUGACGCUGAGGUGCGAUAGCGAGGGAGGGA
Molecule: ribosomal RNA, 697 nt
Filed under: Blastomonas natatoria
Lineage: Bacteria; Pseudomonadati; Pseudomonadota; Alphaproteobacteria; Sphingomonadales; Blastomonadaceae
Description: bacterial SSU rRNA
Rfam family: Bacterial small subunit ribosomal RNA
Source: RNAcentral